RNAcentral lists this ribosomal RNA (379 nucleotides) under Myzostoma capitocutis. Its description in RNAcentral is "partial 16S ribosomal RNA". The record is from RNAcentral. Lineage: Eukaryota; Metazoa; Annelida; Myzostomida; Myzostomatidae.
UCUGCUCAAUGUAAAAUAUAAAUAGCUGCAUUUUGUACUAAGGUAGCAUAAUAAUUUGCCUUUUAAUUGAAGGAUUGUAUGAAUGAAUUUACAAAAUUAAUCCUGUCUUAUUAAAAUUUAUAAAAUUUAAUCUAAAAGUGAAAAAGCUUUUAUUAAAUAAAUAGACAAGAAGACCCUGUUGAGCUUUAUCUAAUUAUUAGAUUUUGUUGGGGCAACAUAAAUUAUUAAUCAAUUUUUAAUAAUAAAGAAUAAAAUCUUAUUUUAUAUCUUAUUUUAUAAAAUACUAUUAGUUACCACAGGGAUAACAGGCUAAUUUUUUUAUAGAGUUCAAAUUAACAAAAAAGUUUGGCACCUCGAUGUUGGCUUAGGAUUUCAUUUU